This is a long non-coding RNA of Dreissena polymorpha, 967 nucleotides long. RefSeq lists it as uncharacterized. The transcript has 3 exons. The record is from RefSeq and is a predicted model, not a curated record. NCBI's taxonomy places the organism in Eukaryota, Metazoa, Mollusca, Bivalvia, Myida, Dreissenidae.
UUGGUUUGUAUUAUUCUUAUCCACAUUGCAGCAAGAAUAACUGGAUAACUUAACUUUUCAAUAGCUAUUACAUGUAGAUCUAAUUUAAAUUAAUCAUGUUUCUAAAUCAUCCACUAAAUGCGGCUAAUUCUCCACUUGUUGGAAGUUUUUUGUGAUAAAAACUUGGAGUAGAUUUAUUUUACUCCCAAACUUCCUUUAAGAAAGCCCAACAGCUGUAGAGUGAUGGAAAAUCUACUUCUUUAAAGAAUUCUGUACAACUGUGGAACCAUGUAUGGUACGUGACCGCACAAUGUUGGUUGGCAAAAGGAUAUUGGAAUAAGCAAAGGGACUCAACAUUACACAGUCAUUUCAACUUGUCAGCAAUGAUGGAGCAGUACAUCAGAUUUCCAGAAUCUCGUCAUGAGCUGAAGAUCAUUGCCUAUGGAUUUCAUGAAUGAUGUAGAAUGAUUGGACUGUUGAUGGAACCCACAGUGCAUGUCCUGCUUCAACAUCUGAGCAUAGGUCCUUGUUUAUCAGCAGUUUAGUUCUUCAAGCAGUCUGUGACAGUAACUUGAAAUGUUUGGACAUAUGACCUGGAUGGCCAAGUUCUGUGCAUGAUGCCCAUUUAAAUAGGAACGGCCCAGUGGCGCAUUAAAUGGACAUUUUUCGAAUGUUCUCGAGGAUUCAGCUUACCGCCUGACAAGAAAUCUUGCUUUUUGUUCCGUAUCGAGGCCAUGGACAUUUGUAUCAUUUGCAAAAGAUACUGCGAUAUUUGUGCCUUUGUUCAUGCUUUAUAGUUGAUUAACAAUUGGAAGCCAUAACCUGUUUUAUAGGAUGGUGUUAGUGGGACAAUGAAUUUUGUAAAGAUUUAAAGACUGGAAAAGAUAAUUAAAAGUCAAAAGAGUUCUGCUAUUGUUAAGCAUGCUUUAUUGAUUUGUAAUGUUAGAAAGAUAGCAUUAUUAACAGAAUAAAAUGUCCAUAAUUUGAA